UACGUAGGGUGCGAGCGUUAAUCGGAAUUACUGGGCGUAAAGCGUGCGCAGGCGGUUCGCCAAGUCAGGUGUGAAAUCCCCGGGCUUAACCUGGGAAUUGCGCUUGAAACUAGCGGGCUUGAGUGUGGCAGAGGGGGGUGGAAUUCCACGUGUAGCAGUGAAAUGCGUAGAUAUCCGGAGGAACACCGGUGGCGAAGGCGGCCUCCUGGACCGACACUGACGCUGAGGCGCGAAAGCUAGGGGAGCAAACGGG
This 253-nucleotide ribosomal RNA is filed under the name uncultured prokaryote. RNAcentral describes it as "partial 16S ribosomal RNA". It matches the Rfam family "Bacterial small subunit ribosomal RNA", at positions 524 to 776 of the family's 1533-position model. The record is from RNAcentral.